GCUCAGCCCUAAACUUUGAUAAUCUGACUACACUCAUUAUCCGCCCGGGUACUACAAGCUCUGGCUCAAAACCCAAAGGACUUGGCGGUGCUUAAGAUCCACCUAGAGGAGCCUGUUCUAGAACCGAUAACCCCCGUUCAACCUCACCCUUUCUUGUUCAUACCGCCUAUAUACCGCCGUCGUCAGCUUACCCUGUGAAGGUCUAGCAGUAAGCAAAAUUGGUAUGGCCCAAAACGCCAGGUCGAGGUGUAGCGUAUGAAAGGGAAAGAAAUGGGCUACAUUUCCUAAACAGGAAAAACGAACAAUAACUUGAAACAUAUAUUAGAAGGAGGAUUUAGCAGUAAAUGAAAAACAGAGUGUCUCAUUGAAACUGGCCCUAAAGCGCGC
RNAcentral lists this ribosomal RNA (387 nucleotides) under Gracilimugil argenteus (flat-tail mullet). RNAcentral's name for it is "partial 12S ribosomal RNA". It matches the Rfam family "Bacterial small subunit ribosomal RNA", at positions 794 to 1384 of the family's 1533-position model. Lineage: Eukaryota; Metazoa; Chordata; Actinopteri; Mugiliformes; Mugilidae. The record is from RNAcentral.